Molecule: long non-coding RNA, 1466 nt
Filed under: Papio anubis (olive baboon)
Lineage: Eukaryota; Metazoa; Chordata; Mammalia; Primates; Cercopithecidae
Description: lncRNA (ENSPANG00000043220.1)
Source: RNAcentral
GAUCGUCAAAGCCAAGGAUAAUUUUAUCCCUUUGUUAAUGAUUGGUAAUAAAUGGACAAAUGUCCAUGAUAAAUGGACCCAGUUCUGGACAGUGAGUGAGGGGAAGUUGAUCAUGGAAGCUCUGAGAUGUGAUUCAUAAAACUGCUUCAAGGCCGGACGCGGUGGCUCACACCUGUCAUCUCAGCACUAUGGGAGGCCGAGGUGGGUGGAUCACGAUGUCAGGAGAUCAAGACCACCUUGGCUAACAUGAUGAAACCCAGUCUCUACUAAAAAUAUAAAAAAUUAGCGGGGUUUGAUGGUGCACGCCUGUUAUCUCAGCUACUUGGGAGGCUGAGGCAGGAGAACAGCUUGAACCUGGGAGGUAGAGGUUGCAGUGAGCUGAGAUCGCACCACUGCACUCCAGUCUAGGCAACAGAGCAAGACUCUGCCUCAAAAAAAAAAAAAAAGAAAAACCUGCUUCAAACACCUUGCUCCAACUCAAAUAUAAAAAUGACAAUGAGGAUCAAGAAAAGAGAGGAAGAGCCAAUACUCAGUGACAUUUUGGCACACUGAAUUAGCCAACUUUAGCGUCUACUCUGUUUUCUGGGCUUCCCUUCAGAGUUUCUUUUUGUUUUCCAAUGGUAACGGGAGAGAAAAUAAGCUGUCAUUAUCGGAAUGAUCAAACACAGAGAGAAAAGAGGCAGAGUUUCUCCAGUGCUGCUCAGCCUCCUAGUAGAAGAGAAAAAUGGUUGGGUUCAAGUUGUGUCAAAUAGAAAUGAUAAAAAAAUAGAGCAACAAGGGGCUUUGGGCUCUGGCAAGAGUGAUUGGAUUGAUGCAUCAUAGAAUCAAACUGGAGAAGGAAGAAAGGAAGAAGAUCAGUGGCCUAAAGGGCUCAGAAGGUUGGAGAAUGUAGAAGAAAUAGUUGAGUAAACAUUCUGGAAAGAUACCUUAACAGCUGAUUGGCUAAAGGAAAGGGAGACAAGAUACAGUGGAACGGUCUUUGGGGUUCAGAGCCUUAUGGAUGAGACAGAUUAUGGAAUCAUUCACAGGAUUAGAGUACUGGGGAGGAGAACUGGUUUUCAGGGCAUAAUGAUAAACUUCAUUUUGAACAAACUGAACAGGAGAGGAUAAUGAGACAUCUAAGUAGCAUGGAGGGCUGGAGUUCAGAAGAACCACAGGAUUCAAGAUAGACCUUUCAGAGUGAAGACCAGAAACAUUACCGGGGGUCAGGAUUCAGUGACACCUCCAAAGAAGAAAGUGAGAAGACUGAAAUGCAGUCUUUGAGGACCAUUUUAUUAAAGGAAAGGGUAUAACAAAGAACCUGUUAACACAGAAGAAAUGGAGUUCUCUGUCAUCCAAGACAAAGAGCUGCAUCUGAGUCAAGGUAAGCUGCUCUGAAUAGUGCUUCAUCCAAAAAUAUCUCCCCCUUUUUUCCCCAAUCAUCUUUAUUGUCUGGUUAUGCAAAUAAACCUUCUACCUCUUAAGCC